GGAUUGGGCUGCGGGUGUAUUUUGUGUGUGUGUGUCUUUGCGCGCAUCCUUCAGUCCGUUCUAAUUCUCAUUGAAAUGCCUGCUGUCCUCUGCGCCUUUCUUGUGAACACUCCUAGCCCAAGAAACUUUUUUUAAUAGCGAGAGGGAGAAGCUUUGUGUUGUUUUAGACACCCCAGGGGGCCAGACUCGAGGAUCCCGGGUCAUCUUCGCCCAGAAGCACUCUCCUGCUGCACAUCUCCUAGAUGUCUAAGGGUUUGAUUUUCUCAGCAGUAUUUACCGAUCAGAAAAAUAGCUGUCCUGAAGCAGAGGGGAAUAUCCCGCUACACGUUUGAUUUUUUAUUUGUUUGUUUGGGUUUGUGGUUUGUUUAUUACUGAUAGUCUGAAGUAUGAAGUGCCCCGAAUCUUUUAGGACCAGUUGGACUGUCUGCCCCGCGUGUGAGAGACAGCUAUCUGAAUGCACUUGCUGGAGCAGGAGAUCUACGGCUUUUGAGGGAAGCCAAUCUUUUGCAAAGCAUGCAGGCACCGGGAGAAUAUUUCUGCACAGAAGAGGCCAAAAUGUGAACAUCAAAUACCCUCCUAGUCUUUGUUGCUAAAGCACCUUUUGCUGAUCAGCUGGGGUCGGGGAGGGAACCAACCCCCCCCCCCUUCCUGCUAGAUAUCUAGUUUAUGGCAAGAGCUAUAUUUCCAGUCUGACUUUGCAUUUUGGGGACAUAUUGGCUUAGGCUCUGACUAAAAACCUUUUUAACCUUGGUUUUUAUUAUACGCUGUUUCUGAAUAAGUUGACCGGCACAGAGCCAUUCGCGCCUUUUGCAGAAGAGGAAGAAAACCAAACCACGGCCACCUCCAAUGGCUGCAGUUCUGCACCAGUCCCAGCCAGGGAAGAGGGAUGGAAAGAAGCAUGCCUAGUUCAGGGGGGAAAUAAAGAACAUUGGAACACGCAGGCUUUGAACUUAGCAUAGCCGAGAGGGUUCUGUUCUCUCAGCUGGAAUGUGACCUACAACACGGCACGUAAGAACGGCCUAGAUGCGUGUGUGCCUGCAACGCACGGUCAAGAUGCAAACUUUCCACAGGCAUCGAUGGGGACAGGAGAAAACAAACUCAAACUGGCCCAGGAUCUGCAUAGAGACAGCGAGGACUCGACAGAGACAGGUUACACCUCCCCAGGCCUAGCGUGGGCUGGACUUUUCCUGCCUAUGAGGAAUUGCCUGGUCAGGAAGAGAUUAAUGUCAUUGUCUUCUACGUGCAAUGCUUUGAGUGGCUCUCGUUGACUGGCUGGCUUGGCUGUAUAACUCCAAGGCAAGGAUGAAAGUCUGGGGGAUCCAGGGAGGGAAGGAGCUACCUUACUGCCCACAUGGACGCUAGAGGCCCCUGGCUGUCUUGCAGAAGGAAAUUCUGCCAUCCCGCUGGCCUGACCCUAUCCCAGAGGGCUCCGCCAACCGAUUCCAUCCACGUCCGGGGGUCAGGCAGGCCUGGAAGGCGACUCACUUAGCGACGGAGAUUCAUGCUGCGCACCUCACGCCACCACAACUGGGCUUCUCCGGGGGCGAAGUGGCUUGAUCAGAAGAUGUGAUGUUGGAUGAGCACAAAAGCCACAGGAACGGCCCGGUAUUUGUAAGAGGUUCCAUUUGAAGAUUUGUUUCCUUUCCAAAAUAAAAACAGUGACUAGCGUG
Molecule: long non-coding RNA, 1670 nt
Organism: Trachemys scripta elegans
Lineage: Eukaryota; Metazoa; Chordata; Testudines; Emydidae
Exons: 4
Source: RefSeq, a predicted model, not a curated record